Molecule: ribosomal RNA, 319 nt
Filed under: uncultured eukaryote
Lineage: Eukaryota
Description: partial 18S ribosomal RNA
Rfam family: Eukaryotic small subunit ribosomal RNA
Source: RNAcentral
CCCUUAGAUGUUCUGGGCCGCACGCGCGCUACAAUGGUCUUCGCAAACGGAUGCAUUCUCGAAGGAGAAUGCCAAUCUUGGAAUCUAUGCCUUGGUCGGGACAGUUGCUUGCAAUUUUUCGACUUGAACCAGGAAUUCCUUGUAAUCGUGAUUCAUCACAUCACGAUGAAUACGUCCCUGCCCUUUGUACACACCGCCCGUCGCUCCUACCGAUCGAAGAGUUAGGUGAAUUGUUUUGAUCGAUAAGAUUUGACUAUGGUCAACUCUCGUUGUGAAAUUCUGUGAAUCUGACUGUUUAGAGGAAGGAAAAGUCGUAACA